RNAcentral lists this ribosomal RNA (722 nucleotides) under uncultured eukaryote. RNAcentral's name for it is "SSU rRNA". It matches the Rfam family "Eukaryotic small subunit ribosomal RNA", at positions 672 to 1426 of the family's 1831-position model. The record is from RNAcentral.
GGUAUCGCCGUUAGUCAUGUGCAAAUAUGGAUAGCUGUUUUAGCCGUCUUUAUUGACUGGUUUAUAAGAGUUAUCAGAUAUCACUUUGAUUAAAUUAGAGUGCUUAAAGCAAGUGUGUUACUUGGAUAUAAAUGCAUGGAAUGAUGGAAUAUGUUGUUAUUCUAUUUGUUGGUUUUUGAAUGAUAAAAUGAUUGAAAGGAACUGUUGGGGGCAUUCGUAUUGUUGUGAGAGAGGUGAAAUUCUUAGACCACAGCAAGACGAACUACUGCGAAAGCAUUUGCCAAGAAUGUUUUCAUUGAUCAAGAACGAAAGUUAGAGGUUCGAAGGCGAUCAGAUACCGCCCUAGUUCUAACCAUAAACUAUGCCAACUAGCAAUUUGCUUUGUAUUUUUUAUGACUAAGUGAGAGGCCACGGGAAACCUAAGUAGGGUUAUGGGGGAAGUAUGGUUGCAAAGCUGAAACUUAAAGGAAUUGACGGAAGGGCACCACCAGGAGUGGAGCCUGCGGCUUAAUUUGACUCAACACGGGAAGACUUACCUGGUCCUGACACUAGAAGGAUUGACAGAUUGAUAGCUCCUUCUUGAUUUGGUGGAUGGUGGUGCAUGGCCGUUCUUAGUUGGUGGAGUGAUUUGUCUGGUUAAUUCCGAUAACGAACGAGACUCUAGCCUAUUAAAUAAUACACGGAAUUUUAUCUUCCGCGGUAUUUCUUAGUGGGAUCAAGCG